GCGCCGUGUGGGAGCAGAGAGCUAGGAGAAGAAAGGGUUCUUUGGGAUCCAGUUCGCGACGGCGGAGGGAGAAGGAAGGAGAGGGGCUAGGUCUAGGGAGGAGACGGCGGGGAGGAGGGUAGGUGGUGGGGAGGACAAGGUCAGCGGGGGCGUCGUCGGUGCCGGCCUACCGAACGACCACACGCACACGAAGAUACGCGCGGCGAAGCAGUAAGGGGUGGGAUCGUCAGCUAGGGUCGACGGCGACGAAGUGGCCGGAGGAGCUAGAGAGGACGCCGGUGAUCACUGGUGGGUUGAGGUGAGAGCUAGGGGUUUCCGUUUCCGUCUCGGUCGGCGGCCGCCGGAGGCAACAGAAGGGGUUGGGGCCGGAAGUGAGGUAGCAACCGCGGGAGAGGGGAAGAGAGGGAGAGGCAUCUAGGAGAGCUCGUUGCAACGGGUGCCGGUCUAGGCGAGGGAGGAGCGGCGGCGGUGGGUGGCGGGGCAGACUGGAGCAGCGGCCGGCGGCCAGGGCGAGAGAAGGGGGGUGUGGGCGGCGGGGGAGGGAGAGGAGGAGGGUAGUCUUCUCUUCUCCCUAGAGCGCGCCUAGCGUGGUCUCGUAGCUAGACCUGGAGGCAGACGUGCUCCCCUGCCGACGCAGAGCAGGAGCAGGGUGGAGUCCGCCCCAGGUCUAGCUCGGCCUGAGCGCAGCAGCAGUUCUCGGCUGGAGCUGCCUCUGCUCUCCUUCGGAAGAAGGAAGCAGAAGGAAGCUGGAGCCGUACAGCGAGGGGUCGAUGAGGCUGAGACGGUUCCAACGGAUGCAGGAGGUCCGCACACCUCGAAGACAUUCUCUCCAGUGUUCUAAACACGGCCCUAGGAACUUGACAUAGAACUCAACUUCACGGACGGAUAAAGGAGGAGAAAAACCGACCUACGAAAAACCUGAAGGUCAUAGCGUACAAACAAGAAAACUUGUCUUCUAAUUCCCCAAGUUCCUACGGCUCUGAUCAUAUCAUGAUUGACACUUUGGUCUAGAAAAAAAGUACGUACGCUGACACUCUGAAAAGACUCAACAUCUACCAGCGCCUACUUAUAUGGAACAACCCAAGUCUGAGAUCAAAUCUACCUUCUCCGAACUCGACCCUACUCACUCUCUAACGAUAAAGUAGACGACCUCUAUCUAACUCUCUCUCCCCACGACUAAUCACAUCAGACACUAACUCUCUUACGAACGACGACGAUAAAUACGAAUGACUAACUAAUAUGUCACUAAUACGACGAUAAACAUGAACAACUACAAUAACAACGGUAGGCUACGUAUAACAACACUAGGUAUCGAAUGACGGAACGGACGUUCACAGUACGACCGCUGGCCCAAGCCUCGCGAGCCUAGCUUCCACCAGCUCGUGACCAUGCUCGAGAUGUUCUACCUGUUCGUCCCCCGGUUGGAGACCAUGCCAAGUAGAUGACCACCCUCCUUUUCCAGAGUCCAGGUACUGUAGAGGGACUUGGUGAUGAGUUACACCUCAGCUACUUCGUGAUGUGGACCGAACGAGCGGCCGCGCGCACACGCACGAAGCUACGCGCCGCGAAGUAGCACGACCGGCCUGGCCCCGUUAGCGGUCUCGGCCUCGGCCUCCUCGGCUGCUCCACGACGACGACCCCGACGCAGGAACCUCCGACGACGACGGGGAGCGGCUGGAGUGGUUGGAGGCCGCAGGCGGUACUCGAGGCGCGUCCUGGGGAAGAAGUAACAGGCCCUCCUCUAGGUCCCGAGCCAAAAUCGCUAGUCGGCAGAAAGUAGUUUCCACGUACCACGUUGCCUCCUGUUCGCGAAGUACAGGUUGGUUCCACGUACCACGAGCGUUAACUACUUGUCCUCCAGAUGCUUUAAACUUCAAGCUUCGGUCUAUCGGGAUGAGUCGUUUCUCAGCAGAGAAAACAAACUGACAUUAUCUGACAUUUACAACAAUAUAACAUUAACAUCCGUAUAAACCCAACAAUAUCUGAUACAUGUCUAACAUCAUCUGAAUCGCAAUCAACUACUUGAUGUAAACAUUACAAGACAAACUUUAUAACUAAUACAUACACUAAACUUUUACACACCUUACCUUUGGACUGAACACCCUGGGUAAAUACUUUUAUUAAACUCG
Molecule: ribosomal RNA, 2129 nt
Filed under: Triticum aestivum (bread wheat)
Lineage: Eukaryota; Viridiplantae; Streptophyta; Magnoliopsida; Poales; Poaceae
Description: partial small subunit ribosomal RNA
Source: RNAcentral